UACGUAGGGUGCAAGCGUUGUCCGGAAUUAUUGGGCGUAAAGAGCUCGUAGGCGGUCUGUCGCGUCUGCUGUGAAGACUCAGGGCUUAACCCUGAGCUUGCAGUGGGUACGGGCAGACUAGAGUGCGGUAGGGGAGACUGGAAUUCCUGGUGUAGCGGUGGAAUGCGCAGAUAUCAGGAGGAACACCGGUGGCGAAGGCGGGUCUCUGGGCAGUAACUGACGCUGAGGAGCGAAAGCGUGGGGAGCGAACAGG
Molecule: ribosomal RNA, 253 nt
Filed under: uncultured bacterium
Lineage: Bacteria
Description: partial 16S ribosomal RNA
Rfam family: Bacterial small subunit ribosomal RNA
Source: RNAcentral